GACGAACGCUGGCGGCAUGCCUAACACAUGCAAGUCGAACGAGACCAUCUGGUCUAGUUGCGCACGGGUUCGUGACGCGAGGGAACCUGCCCGUAGGGUCGGAAUAACUCCCCGAAAGGGGUGCUAAUACCGGAUAAUGUCUUCGGACCAAAGAUUGAUCGCCUUUGGAUGGGCCCACAUUGGAUUAGCCAGUUGGUAGGGGAAAAGACUACUAACGAUACGAUCCAUAGCUGGUCUGAGAGAAAGAUCAGCCACACUGGGACUGAGACGCAGCCCAGACUCCUACGCGAGGCAGGAGUGUGGGAUAUUGGACAGUCGGCGGAGGCAUGAUGCUGCAAUGCCGGGUGAGUGAUGAUGUCGGUAGGGUUGUAAAGCUCUUGUAACCGGGAUGAUAAUGACAGUACCCGGAGAAUAAGCCCCGGCUAACUACGUG
Molecule: ribosomal RNA, 433 nt
Filed under: uncultured bacterium
Lineage: Bacteria
Description: partial 16S ribosomal RNA
Rfam family: Bacterial small subunit ribosomal RNA
Source: RNAcentral